This 1020-nucleotide unclassified non-coding RNA is filed under the name Haliotis rubra (blacklip abalone). Its description in RNAcentral is "bLOC-1-related complex subunit 8-like, transcript variant X3". Lineage: Eukaryota; Metazoa; Mollusca; Gastropoda; Lepetellida; Haliotidae. The record is from RNAcentral.
UAGUGAGGGCAGCAAAUCGAUCACGCGUUGGGAAAGAGCUUGCCCUUCUGCGUUUCCGGGUUUUCUGCAUCUGCUUUUGUCAUUGCGUUAAAAACAAUUUGUCGAUUAAGUGGGGUCAAAGUUCUUUUGGAUGGAAAAUGGAAUGAACUACUUGUGGUUCCAGCAUCAGCCGAACAUGCAGGGUGGAGAUGGUUUGUACAGUCGUAUGAGCAGUAACCAGAUCUUCCGCGAAUCUGUUGACCCUGAGCUGGACCAUAAGACAAGGAGAGUUUCAGACAAAUUCUCAGAAAAUAUAAACACAGUGGCCAAUGAACCAUCGCUGGCUUUCUUCCGUAUCCAGGAGCACGUGAGGAAGACUCUGCCACAGCUGGUGGAACAGAAGCAUGAAGUGCAGAGUAUACAACAGCAAGUUCAAGGGGCAUGUUUCGAUACAGAAUAUGCCACAAAUGCUGUGAAGACAAUGUACCAGAGUGAAUUCCACUUCCAAAACAUCCAGGAACUGCUGAAGAAUGCCAUGUUUAUGAAACAGCAGAUAGGAUAUGAAGAAAGUAGAAGGGCUUCAAUAGUACAGUCCCAGGAUGGAAGUCUUCCUGCUGCAUCAAGUACCACAUUGUCUGCAACUGUCUCAAGUUCACCCCCUCAACAAACAAAUCCCACUUUGUCUACAUCUCUCCCAGCUUCAACUUCAACUGCAAGAGCUCCACCAUCAAAAGCUACAGCCACAAGACCUAACCCUACUGAUCCAGAUAUGCUAAGUCCAGUUCCUGUUCCUGGAGUUUCUCCAGGAGUUGCUGCUGGUCCUUCAGGUGUUGUCCAGUCAGUGAUGGUCAACUGUCAUACCGAUGACAUCGAUGUAGCAACUGAGGCUGAUGAGGACAUUUCCAGCUAGUCUCAUUGGAUCCAUCCCAACCGUCAUACCGAUGACAUCGAUGUUGCAGCUGAAGCUGAUGAGGACAAUACCAGCUAUUCUCAUUGGAUCCAACACGACAUUGAUGACAUCGAUGUACAAACUGUAACAAU